Molecule: long non-coding RNA, 380 nt
Organism: Eubalaena glacialis (North Atlantic right whale)
Lineage: Eukaryota; Metazoa; Chordata; Mammalia; Artiodactyla; Balaenidae
Exons: 3
Source: RefSeq, a predicted model, not a curated record
GAUUGGCAGUCCUGCCAUAACCAAAUGGAAUGAGGGGGAAGGGUGGAUCUCCAAAGGAAAGGAUUGCUGUGAUCAGAACAAGAAGGCGCACUGCUGGGCCCUGGGCAUAAAAAGAUGAAUCAAACUCAGGGGAACUCAUCCAAUCCAGAUCAGCAUACGCUACUGCUCAGCCAUGGCAAGGCCAAGGCAGACAUUGCCAGUCAACUACAGAGCAAUUUCCCUGGGAGCCUGGGCUUGGCCUCAAGAUCCUGCUCAGCACAGAGCUCCAGGCAGCCAGUGCUCAUCAGUUGGGGACAAUGGCGUUGGUGCCUUCAACUCCUGACUCUGGUCGGCUGUCGAGUCAACGUCGUGGUUGGGAGCCUGAGCACAGUUCCUGCGGA